GCGCCUCCCGUCGACCGUCCAUGGAGUAAGAAAGAUAGUCGUGUUGCUUCGUACUCUUCUCUUCCGUCUUUUACUCACCUACGUGGAAAUCGCGCGUACUUCUCUCCAACGAACACCGGUAUGUUACGUAGUUACGCAGUGUAUAGUAUACAUACGCGAACGUCCAAUGCAAUAGAGUAAUGCGUGGAAAGGGAUGCUACACGCAACUUGUUUCUAUCUUCUCGCCGUUUGUCCGAUCGAAAGUGUUUUGUGUUCGAACUCGCGUGUGUUUCGUGCUCCCUCAUCUAUAAGGGCUUCGUAGCGUCCGAGACAUCUUAUACCUCGACAUCGAUGGCCAUCCUCGCCUGUACGAUGAAAUCUUAUUCUUAUUGGGACGAUCACCCUGGUCUACGAAUGCUUGUAAAAGCGGACUAGAGAAUUCGAACCAUCUGCGCCUCGGAUGAACGAUAUUUCGAGUAAUUAAGACUCCAGUAUCAGUCUCCAAUUACGCAUUCGUCUCGAUCCCGGUAAAUGUAUUCGGUGCAGAUCCGGUAGAUAUGAAAAUUCGCGGUUUACAUCGACAACACAACUCGCAUUUAAUCACCGUUUCGAAAACGAUGUCACAAUGUCGAUGGUGUUUUUCUCCGCAACGACGAAACGCGGUCACCAGAGCUACCAGUACCAUAAUCCGGAAAAACGACUACCGCUGCGAGGCAGUAGAAACUAGUAGAAACGCCAGACCUAUAUUCAGAAAAGUAGUCGAAUUGUCUCGGUGGCCGCAAAGCCACGGGAAAGAAAACGACAGCGAUGAGUUGGCUGCAAGAGGGUUGCUGGGCGGAGUGGCUGCAAGAGGGCCAAUAAGGAAAAUGCCUGGUCGAAUGGCGGAGCAUCGUGCUCUGCUACACGGUCCAUAUAAGCGUCCGUCCCGGGAGAAGCCGGUCGCGGUACAUCAGAUAAGAAAACCUGGUCUCGGAAUAGAACCCUAUUAUGUUUGCUAUAAGUGGCCGUGGCCAAGGCUACGAGGAGAUGCGAGAGCGGGUCCUGCAGGCGGACCAACAGGGAGAUAAGAAAAAUGCCUGGGCCGGCCCUCGUCGUAACCGCAGAAGUUGUAAUUAUACAGUGAUAUUACUACCGAAAAGAAUGAGGGACGACGGAAGCUGGUAUACGUGGAUGUGGUGUUCCCGGAGACCGCCGGCAUUUUACCCUGAAUCUGGAUGAAGAUACGUCGUCGUCAGAUAACAGCCGCCACGAGAACGAGUAUUUAUUGUUGGCCCCAGAAGCCGGUUAAAGGAUGGAACGAAAGAAUUCCCUGAUGAACGGUGGAACGAAAUCGUAAUUGGAUGAAACUCCUUUUGUAGCGGCCACUUCCACCCUCCACUCCCCUCUAUCUGGCCAUCAUCACCCCGUCUCUGUCUGCCCCUUUGGAUUCUGGCAAGUAAAUUGCAUUAAUUAAAGCAU
This is a long non-coding RNA of Bombus pascuorum, 1437 nucleotides long. RefSeq lists it as uncharacterized. The record is from RefSeq and is a predicted model, not a curated record. Lineage: Eukaryota; Metazoa; Arthropoda; Insecta; Hymenoptera; Apidae. The transcript has 5 exons.